ACCUUUGUCAGUCCAGUACACUUGAUGAUAAGGGUGGGCAGUUCUGUGUCAGCCUCCUCGGUAAUACCAAGCACCUCAAGUGGUCAGUAUGAUUAUUUUGGGCCGGAGCGAUCCGUAUCCGGCUCUGUAUAAGUUUCCGGUUAAAGUUUUGGACGCUCAAACUGACCAAGGCUGGCCCGUAAUACUGCAGAAGCUAGUGAUUUGUAGAAGGUUACCGGUACUUGGUAGGAAGGGGUUAAAAUCCUUUGAUCUAUUGAUGACCACCUGUGGCGAAGGCGGUCUACCAGAACACGUCCGACGGUGAGGGAUGAAAUCUGGGGGAGCAAACCGGAUUUAGAUACCCGGGUAGUCCCAGCUGUAAACUAUGCAAACUCAGUGAUGCAUUGGCUUGUGGCCAAUGCAGUGCUGCAGGGAAGCCGUUAAGUUUGCCGCUCUGGGAAGUACGUACGUCAAGUAUGAACUCAUAGGAAUUGACGG
This 477-nucleotide ribosomal RNA is filed under the name uncultured crenarchaeote. RNAcentral's name for it is "bacterial SSU rRNA". It matches the Rfam family "Archaeal small subunit ribosomal RNA", at positions 406 to 871 of the family's 1478-position model. Lineage: Archaea; Thermoproteati; Thermoproteota. The record is from RNAcentral.